GACAGAGGCCUCAAGCGUUAGGCGGAAUCACUGGGCUUAAAGCGUGUGUAGGCGGAUCGUUAAGUGUCUUGUGAAAUCCCACGGCUCACCCGUGGAACUGCUGGGCAUACUGGCGAUCUUGGGCCAACUAGGGGCAGCCGGAACAAGCGGUGGAGCGGUGAAAUGCGUAGAUAUCAUUUGGAACGCCAAUGGUGAAAACAGGUAGCUGGGGAUGUGCUGACGCUGAGACACGAAAGCCAGGGGAGCAAACGGG
This 253-nucleotide ribosomal RNA is filed under the name uncultured bacterium. RNAcentral's name for it is "partial 16S ribosomal RNA". It matches the Rfam family "Bacterial small subunit ribosomal RNA", at positions 524 to 776 of the family's 1533-position model. The record is from RNAcentral.